GAUAAGAUAAGCUAAACAUACCAAGCUAUUGGGCUCAUGCCCCAAAAAUGAAUUUAUUUUUCUCCUAUCA
Molecule: transfer RNA, 70 nt
Filed under: Nucula nucleus
Lineage: Eukaryota; Metazoa; Mollusca; Bivalvia; Nuculida; Nuculidae
Description: tRNA-Met
Source: RNAcentral